RNAcentral lists this ribosomal RNA (253 nucleotides) under uncultured bacterium. Its description in RNAcentral is "partial 16S ribosomal RNA". It matches the Rfam family "Bacterial small subunit ribosomal RNA", at positions 524 to 776 of the family's 1533-position model. The record is from RNAcentral.
UACGGGGGGGGCAAGCGUUGUUCGGAAUUACUGGGCGUAAAGCGCGCGUAGGCGGCUUUCUAAGUCAGGGGUGAAAUCCUGGAGCUCAACUCCAGAACUGCCUUUGAUACUGGGAAGCUCGAGUCCGGAAGAGGUGAGUGGAACUGCGAGUGUAGAGGUGAAAUUCGUAGAUAUUCGCAAGAACACCAGUGGCGAAGGCGGCUCACUGGUCCGGUACUGACGCUGAGGUGCGAAAGCGUGGGGAGCAAACAGG